Non-coding RNA from Chlorocebus sabaeus (green monkey), 2525 nucleotides. Lineage: Eukaryota; Metazoa; Chordata; Mammalia; Primates; Cercopithecidae. The record is from RefSeq and is a predicted model, not a curated record.
ACCUCGUGCCCCAGCAGGUAAACUAACAUGGAUUUUUCCAAGCUACCCCAAAUACUCGAAGAUAAAGAAAGCACAUUUGGUUAUGUGCAUGGGGUCUCAGGACCUGUGGUUACAGCCUGUGACAUGGUGGGUGCAGCCAUGUAUGAGCUGGUGAGAGUGGGCCACAGCAAGUUGGUUGGAGAGAUUAUUCGAUUGGAGGGUGACAUGGCUACUAUUCAGGUGUAUUAAGAAACUUCUGGUGUUUCUGUUGGAGAUCCUGUACUUCGCACUGGUAAACCCCUCUCUGUAGAGCUCAGUCCUGGCAUUAUGGGAGCCAUUUUUGAUGGUAUUCAAAGACCUUUGUCGGAUAUCAGCAGUCAGACCCAAAGCAUCUACAUCCCCAGAGGAGUAAACGUGUCUGCUCUUAGCAGAGAUAUCAAAUGGAACUUUACACCUUGCAAAAACCUACGGGUUGGUAGUCAUAUCACUGGUGGAGACAUUUAUGGAAUUGUCAAUGAGAACUCGCUUAUCAAACACAAAAUCAUGUUACCCCCACAAAAUAGAGGAACUGUAACUUAUAUUGCUCCACCUGGGAAUUAUGAUACCUCUGAUGUUGUCUUGGAGCUUGAAUUUGAAGGUGUAAAGGAGAAGUUCACCAUGGUGCAAGUAUGGCCUGUAUGUCAAGUUCUAUCUGUCACUGAGAAGGUGCCAGCCAAUCAUCCUCUGUUGACUGGCCAGAGAGUCCUUGAUGCCCUUUUUCCGUGUGUCCAGGGAGGAACUACUGCUAUCCCGGGAGCCUUUGGCUGUGGAAAGACAGUGAUAUCACAGUCUGUAUCCAAGUAUUCUAACAGUGAUGUAUAAUCUAUGUAGGAUGUGGUGAAAGAGGAAAUGAGAUGUCUGAAGUCCUCCAGGACUUCCCAGAGCUCACAAUGGAGGUUGAUGGUAAGUAAGGUAGAGUCAAUUAGGAAGAGGACAGCUUUGGUAGCCAAUACCUCCAAUAUGCCUGUUGCUGCUACAAAAACCUCUAUUAAUACUGGAAUCACACUGUCAGAAUACUUCUGUGACAUGGGCUAUCAUGUCAGUAUGAUGGCUGACACUACCUCUAGAUGGGCUGAGGCCCUUAGAGAAAUCUCUGGUUGUUUAGCUGAAAUGCCUGCAGAUAGUGGAUAUCUAGCCUAUUUUGGUGCCCAUCUGGCCUCUUUUUAUGAAUGAGCAGGCAGGGUGAAAUGUCUUGGAAAUCCUGAAAGAGAAGGGAGUGUCAGCAUUGUAGGAGCAGUUUCUCCACCUGGUGGUGAUUUUUCUGAUCCAGUUACAUCUGCCACUCUUGGUAUCGUUCAGGUGUUCUGGGGCUUAGAUAAGAAACUAGCUCAACGUAAGCAUUUCCCCUCUGUCAAUUGGCUCAUCAGCUACACCAAGUAUAUGCGUGCCUUGGAUGAAUACUAUGACAAACACUUCACAGAGUUUGUCCCACUGAGGACCAAAGCUAAGGAUAUUCUGCAGGAAGAAGACCUGGCAGAAAUUGUACACCUUGUCGGAAAGGCGUCUUUGGCAGAAACAGAUAAAAUCACUCUGGAGGUAACAAAACUUAUCAAAGAUGAUUUCCUACGACAAAAUGGAUACACUCCUUAUGACAGGUUCUGUCCAUUCUACCAGACAGUAGGGAUGCUGUCCAACAUGACUGCAUUUUAUAUAUGGCUCGUAGAGCUGUUGAAACCACUGCCCAGAGUGACAAUAAAAUCACAUGGUCUAUUGUUCAUGAGCACAUAGGAGACAUCCUCUAUAAACUUUCCUCCAUGAAAUUCAAGGAUCCACUGAAAGAUGGUGAGGCAAAGAUCAAGAGCGACUAUGCACAACUUCUUGAAGAUUUGCAGAAUGCAUUCCAUAGCCUUGAGGAUUAGAAGCCUUGAAGAUUAGAACUGUGAUUUCCUUUUCCUCAACAAGCUCCUAUGUGUAUAUUUUCCUGAAUUUCUCAUCUCAAACCUUUUGCUUCUUCAUUGUGCAGCUUUGAGACUAGUGCCUAUGUGUGUUGUUUGUUUCCCUGUUUUUUUUGGUAGGUCUUAUAUAAAACUAACAUUCCUUAGUUUUAGUGUUGUGAAGGGCCUCCCUCUUCCUUUAUCUGAAGUGUUGAAUAUAGUAAAUAUAUAUUGUGGUUGCACUACUGUAAACUUGUAUGUAGGGUGAUGACCCUCUUUGUCCUAGGUGUGCCCUUUCCUUAUCUCUAUUAAAUUGUAAAUAGGACUACUGCAUGUACUCUCUUUGCAGUGAAUUUGAAAUGGAAGGCCAGGUUUCUAUAACUUUUGAACAGGUACUUUGUGAAAUGACUCAAUAUCUAUUGUGGUAAGCUCAUUGGCAGCUUAGCAUUUUGCAGAGGAAUUGUUUUGCAGGAAAUAUUUAAUUUUCAAAAACAUAAUGAUUAAUGUUCCAAUUAUGCAUCGCUUCCCCCAGUAUAAAUCAGGAAUAUUUGUGAGAAACUAUUGGGGACUUUAUUUUUAUCUUUUAUUUAUUUUAUUUUAUUUUUUUUGAGAUGGAGUUUCACUUUUGUUGCC